Apis dorsata (giant honeybee) is the source of this 1335-nucleotide long non-coding RNA. RefSeq lists it as uncharacterized. Lineage: Eukaryota; Metazoa; Arthropoda; Insecta; Hymenoptera; Apidae. The record is from RefSeq and is a predicted model, not a curated record. The transcript has 5 exons.
UAUAAAGAGCAAAAAAACAAUUAUUCAAAAAAAAUAACAUAAAGUAGAAUUAUCAAAAAAGAUAAAAGAAAAAUGUUACAUACAAUGUUAAGAGGUUAAGUUGAAACAACGAUACCGGAUCAAAAUUAUCCAAGUUUGCACGUGCAACUGGCAGAGAAAUGCUUCGAUUCUGUUCUUGGUAAUUGCAUCCAUUCCUGUGGCUCACGAACGGUUAACGAACGCAACGGGUCGACUACGGGUGCAACGAGAUUAUUUUACGGUCGGCCAUUUCCAUCCGAUCUAUUUGCACGCUAAUGAACGCAUUUUGCGUAAGACUGUUUUAACGCUUAUUCGUCGUUUCCUCUCGCUACAAUUCAUGUCUACGUACCUAUAAUCGAGAUUCUCUUUGCAAUACAUCUUCUUAACCUCUUUGCCAACCAAUCUCGCAAUCGUUUAUAAUAUAGAGGGCGUUGGGCAUGCUAUGGGUAUUUGCUUAAGUCACGGAAAAUGGCGUGUCAUGUAUGUGGAUUAAUGAGUAUGUUCGAUAUUGAUUAGUUAGUUUGGUUAGUUUGGUUAGUUUGGUCGAAAUGAAGUAGAAAUUGAGGAAAUUUUGGAUGAAUAAUAGUGAAAAGAAAUAAAAUUUCGAUAUAAUUAUUUGUGAUAGAAUUUGUGAUGAUUCGUGGCAAGUGGCAAGUGACAAGUGGCAAGUGAAAAGUGUAAAUGGAAAAUAAAAAUGAUGCGUGAUUCGUUCAUAUUUGGAAAUUUUUGAAGAAACAGUUUUCAAAAAAGAAAUAUUUCUGAUUUUCAUGCUCAGUUAUUGAUGUUUGAUUUUUCAGUGAGUCUGAACCGUGGAGAAAACGAACGAGCGCUCUCUUUGCCUGUUAUGCGCUUGUUAUUCGAUGUCGAUACGCUUUAAUACACAACUCUCACAAUUAGUUUAGGUGAGCACAAUUUUCAACCGUAUCGUGCGAUGCAAAUGUAUUCAGUUUUUGUGAGCCCCAAACUGACGAGGUGGAGUACGAGGCAAAGGUUAUUAGCUACAUUACGCUAAUUGACUUUCGUCCAUGCAACACGGGCUUCACGAACAGAUGUUAUUUUAAUAAUUAUUAUAAUUAUAAUAUUAUUCGAAUAUGUAAACAACAUAUUACUAGUUGCCGCUACAAAUUUAUUAAUUUAUAAUACAUAAAUUUUCGCAUUGCCGAUAAUACUAUAAUAUUAUAAUUAAUUAAUUUAAUAUAAUAAUUUAGUUUCUAUAUUAAUCGUAAUGAUUAUGGUAUGAAAUAUUCGUUUGAUUUUAUAAAAUACAACAACGAAUAUUUGGAUUUAUAAUUUAUAAUUAAACAAACAAAAGUGAUA